RNAcentral lists this ribosomal RNA (327 nucleotides) under uncultured Cryptanaerobacter sp. RNAcentral's name for it is "bacterial SSU rRNA". It matches the Rfam family "Bacterial small subunit ribosomal RNA", at positions 1055 to 1382 of the family's 1533-position model. Lineage: Bacteria; Bacillati; Bacillota; Clostridia; Eubacteriales; Desulfotomaculaceae. The record is from RNAcentral.
UCAGCUCGUGUCGUGAGAUGUUGGGUUAAGUCCCGCAACGAGCGCAACCCCUACGUUUAGUUGCUAACGUGUAACGAUGAGCACUCUAGGCGGACUGCCGUUGACAAACGGAGGAAGUGGGGAUGACGUCAAAUCAUCAUGCCCCUUAUGUUCUGGGCUACACACGUGCUACAAUGGCCGGUACAAAGGGACGCAAAGCCGCGAGGUGGAGCAAAUCCGAUAAAAGCCGGUCUCAGUUCGGAUUGCAGGCUGAAAUUCGCCUGCAUGAAGUCGGAAUCGCUAGUAAUCGCAGGUCAGCAUACUGCGGUGAAUACGUUCCCGGGCCUU